Molecule: long non-coding RNA, 1105 nt
Organism: Mytilus californianus (California mussel)
Lineage: Eukaryota; Metazoa; Mollusca; Bivalvia; Mytilida; Mytilidae
Exons: 3
Source: RefSeq, a predicted model, not a curated record
GGUGAGAACAUAUUUUCCAAGUUAGAAAACUGAAAACUAAAAAUUGUGAAAACAUCUACCCGACCGAGAAUUAUUUUACCAGUUUAAUAUUUAAAGAAACAAGUUGUACCAAGUAUAUUAACAAGAUUUUCUAAAAAAAUAGCAAGAGUAAAUCCUGAGAUUGGAAUAGAGCUUCCAAGAUUUGUUAAUUCAAUGGGAGAUAACUCUGUAAAAUAUGCAGAUUUUAAUGCAGUUGAUAUUCAAAUCAUUAUUCUUUGACUUCCUUUUAGUUUUCCAUCUUUAUAUAUUAAUUUUACAAACUUAGGUGUUGAUGUUAUACUAUUGUGAACAUGUAGUAAGAAAUCAAAACAAUAUUUAGUAAAUGUUUAUGUUGACAGAAAUGGAUUUAUAAAAUAUAUAAUAAUGUAUCCAUUUUAAUUCCUUUUUAGGUAACCUUUCUGUGACAUGAUUUUCAUGGUGUUGGAUUAUAAAACUUUGGGGUCUAAUACAUCUAAAAGGAAGGUUAACAUCACAGCUUGUCCGUAAGGAUUGAGGUUGGGAAUGGCCAUUGGAGCUGACUUUUUUGGUAACUUUAACUGUGGCUGCAUGAAAAUGAUUGCGUGACUGUACCAGUAAAGAAUGUAAUUUAGACAAUUUUUGUGUAUGUUUGAGAAAAUGAUUAUAAUUUUUUACAAAAAAACAAAUAGUGUAAAGAUUCUCCAUUUUCAACAAGAUUGUAAGUUAUAGAUAACUUAUUUUGAAUUUUAAAAUCUCUCUUUUUUUUACCAUUAAAACCAAAGGAUAUAUUCAGGUAGCUCUACUCAUGUCCAUUCUUGACAAUUUUUUUGUCAUGCAUAUUGAUACUGAAUUGGUUUUUGGUAUGUAUAGUUUUGUUUUGAGUUCAUAGUUCAGAUUCAAUCAUGUAUUCAUUAUUUUUUUUCCCCUGUGGCUAGAUUUAAUUGGUACUUUGAAAAUGAAUUGAAAUGGACCAAUUUUAUUUGAAGACCUACUCUUUUAGAUAUAUUAAUAAUGGUCCGUGUCUAGUCAAAACACUUCCAGAAGUUAAGGAUGGAGAAUCUUAAAAAAAAAAGAAAAAAUGAAAUGUAUAUUUUGGCUUUCACCGUUG